AGCAGCCGCGGUAAUUCCAGCUCCAAUAGCGUAUAUUAAAGUUGUUGCAGUUAAAAAGCUCGUAGUUGAAUUUCGGGGUCAGUAGAUUGGUCAUGCCACUGGUAUGUACUGGUCUCACUGAUUCCUCCUUCCUGAUGAGCCGUAAUGCCAUUAAUUUGGUGUUGCGAGGAAUCUGGACUGUUACUUUGAAAAAAUUAGAGUGUUUAAAGCAGGCUAACGCUUGAAUACAUUAGCAUGGAAUAAUGAAAUAGGACGUUCGAUCUUAUUUUGUUGGUUUCUAAGAUUGACGUAAUGAUUAAUAGGGAUAGUUGGGGGCAUUAGUAUUCAAUUGUCAGAGGUGAAAUUCUUGGAUUUAUUGAAGACUAACUACUGCGAAAGCAUUUGCCAAGGAUGUUUUCAUUAAUCAAGAACGAAAGUUAGGGGAUCGAAGACGAUCAGAUACCGUCGUAGUCUUAACCAUAAACUAUGCCGACUAGGGAUCGGAUGAUGUUAAUUUUUAAUGACUC
Molecule: ribosomal RNA, 506 nt
Filed under: uncultured Glomus
Lineage: Eukaryota; Fungi; Glomeromycota; Glomeromycetes; Glomerales; Glomeraceae
Description: SSU rRNA
Rfam family: Eukaryotic small subunit ribosomal RNA
Source: RNAcentral